RNAcentral lists this non-coding RNA (29 nucleotides) under Homo sapiens (human). The record is from RNAcentral. Lineage: Eukaryota; Metazoa; Chordata; Mammalia; Primates; Hominidae.
UGCCCCGCCUCUGACUGGACGUCCCUUCC